Molecule: transfer RNA, 72 nt
Filed under: Camelus bactrianus (Bactrian camel)
Lineage: Eukaryota; Metazoa; Chordata; Mammalia; Artiodactyla; Camelidae
Also listed under: 2 other names
Rfam family: tRNA
About the family: Transfer RNA (tRNA) molecules are approximately 80 nucleotides in length. Their secondary structure includes four short double-helical elements and three loops (D, anti-codon, and T loops).
Source: Rfam by way of RNAcentral
GAGGGUAUAGCUCAGUGGUAGAGCCUGUGCUUAGCAUGCACAAGGUCCUGGGUUCAAUCCCCAGUACUUCUG